RNAcentral lists this ribosomal RNA (251 nucleotides) under uncultured bacterium. Its description in RNAcentral is "partial 16S ribosomal RNA". It matches the Rfam family "Bacterial small subunit ribosomal RNA", at positions 15 to 259 of the family's 1533-position model. The record is from RNAcentral.
GAUCAUGGCUCAGAUUGAACGCUGGCGGCAGGCCUAACACAUGCAAGUCGAACGGUAACAGGAAGAAGCUUGCUUUCUUUGCUGACGAGUGGCGGACGGGUGAGUAAUGUCUGGGAAACUGCCUGAUGGGAGGGGGAUAACUACUGGAAACGGUAGCUAAUACCGCAUAACGUCGCAAGACCAAAGGAGGGGGACCUUCGGGCCUCUUGCCAUCGGAUGUGCCCAGAUGGGAUUAGCUAGUAGGUAGGGGG